UUCNGACGCUGAAGCAGAUAUUCAGUGCCA
This 30-nucleotide non-coding RNA is filed under the name Homo sapiens (human). The record is from RNAcentral. Lineage: Eukaryota; Metazoa; Chordata; Mammalia; Primates; Hominidae.